Non-coding RNA from Chelonoidis abingdonii (Abingdon island giant tortoise), 124 nucleotides. The record is from RefSeq and is a predicted model, not a curated record. Lineage: Eukaryota; Metazoa; Chordata; Testudines; Testudinidae.
AAGGUUUCUUUCCCCAGUUUGAACUUUAGAGUAUAAAUGUGGGGAACCUGCAUGAACUCUUCUAAGCUUAAUUACUGGCUUAGAUCUGGUAUCCCUGCCGCCAGCCAAGAUUUACAGUGUCUGG